GACCAAGGAGUCUAGCAUGUGCGCGAGUCAUUGGGACAUUGAUAAACCUAAAGGCGCAAUGAAAGUGAAGGUCCGCCUUGCGCGGACCGAGGGAGGAUGGGCCCGUCCACGGGCGGGCCCCGCACUCCCGGGGCGUCUCGUUCUCAUCGCGAGAAGAGGCGCACCCAGAGCGUACACGCUGGGACCCGAAAGAUGGUGAACUAUGCCUGGUCAGGACGAAGUCAGGGGAAACCCUGAUGGAGGUCCGUAGCGAUUCUGACGUGCAAAUCGAUCGUCGGAACUGGGUAUAGGGGCGAAAGACUAAUCGAAC
The sequence is a ribosomal RNA, 310 nucleotides long. It matches the Rfam family "Eukaryotic large subunit ribosomal RNA", at positions 664 to 940 of the family's 3401-position model.